Molecule: transfer RNA, 72 nt
Filed under: bacterium (Candidatus Gribaldobacteria) CG_4_10_14_0_8_um_filter_33_9
Lineage: Bacteria; Candidatus Gribaldobacteria
Description: tRNA-Thr
Rfam family: tRNA
About the family: Transfer RNA (tRNA) molecules are approximately 80 nucleotides in length. Their secondary structure includes four short double-helical elements and three loops (D, anti-codon, and T loops).
Source: RNAcentral
GCCGGGGUAGUUCAGUGGCAGAACGCUUUCUUGGUAAGAAAGAGGUCAUGGGUUCAAUUCUCAUCCUCGGCU